RNAcentral lists this transfer RNA (72 nucleotides) under Neotoma lepida (desert woodrat). It matches the Rfam family "tRNA". From Rfam's summary of the family: Transfer RNA (tRNA) molecules are approximately 80 nucleotides in length. Their secondary structure includes four short double-helical elements and three loops (D, anti-codon, and T loops). Lineage: Eukaryota; Metazoa; Chordata; Mammalia; Rodentia; Cricetidae. The record is from Rfam by way of RNAcentral.
UGGGGUAUAGCUCAGUGAUAGAGCAUGUGCUUAGUAUGCACAAGGUCCUGGGUUCAAGCCCCAACAUUGCUU